This is a long non-coding RNA of Ceratitis capitata (Mediterranean fruit fly), 507 nucleotides long. RefSeq lists it as uncharacterized. The record is from RefSeq and is a predicted model, not a curated record. The transcript is spliced from 3 exons. NCBI's taxonomy places the organism in Eukaryota, Metazoa, Arthropoda, Insecta, Diptera, Tephritidae.
ACGUUUUUUCAGUAUACAAAAAGCUUCAGAAUGAAUGCCUCAUUUCAAUCGUUCGAAAAAGUGAGAAAGGCUGCAGAGUUGUUUGAAAUGCAUCACAAUUGCAAACUAUCCACUAGAGACAGCUCCAAAAUUAAAGUAGAACAACUUAAUAUAAAGAACAGUAAAUUAAUGUGUAAUUAUAUUUUAUACACAUGUGCCAGAAAUGGUUCAAAAAGAUGUCGCGAAAUUGGAACCUGGGACAUCAAAAAGAAAAUAACUCGCCAACGAGAGUCGAAAAAAAUUGGUUGCCCUGUAAAAAUUAAACUGGAAAGAAAACUCGAUAAAGAGAAACAAAUUGAGGUUUUGCAUGUCACGAAAUUACGGGUAAACACAAUCAUGAACCAAACGAUUUAUCUGAAGACGAGUUCUCAAAUAUGGAAGAAAAUCAACAUAAUUCUAACAAUAUGACUGACUCCAAAUUGCUUGCUCUGCGAAAAGCCUUGCAAAAAAUUGAAACCUUUGCACGAC